Molecule: unclassified non-coding RNA, 103 nt
Organism: Aotus nancymaae (Ma's night monkey)
Lineage: Eukaryota; Metazoa; Chordata; Mammalia; Primates; Aotidae
Rfam family: Y RNA
About the family: Y RNAs are components of the Ro ribonucleoprotein particle (Ro RNP), in association with Ro60 and La proteins. The Y RNAs and Ro60 and La proteins are well conserved, but the function of the Ro RNP is not known. In humans the RNA component can be one of four small RNAs -- hY1, hY3, hY4 and hY5.
Source: Ensembl
GGCUGAUCCAAGUGCAGUGGUAUUUACAACUAAUUGAUCUCAGCCAGUUUGUAGAUUUCUUUGUUCCUUCUCCAUUCCCACUUCUUCACUUGACUAGUCUUGG